This 468-nucleotide ribosomal RNA is filed under the name uncultured bacterium. Its description in RNAcentral is "partial 16S ribosomal RNA". It matches the Rfam family "Bacterial small subunit ribosomal RNA", at positions 28 to 507 of the family's 1533-position model. The record is from RNAcentral.
GACGAACGCUGGCGGCGUGCUUAACACAUGCAAGUCGAACGGAAAGGCCCUGCUUUUGUGGGGUGCUCGAGUGGCGAACGGGUGAGUAACACGUGAGUAACCUGCCCUUGACUUUGGGAUAACUUCAGGAAACUGGGGCUAAUACCGGAUAGGAGCUCCUGCUGCAUGGUGGGGGUUGGAAAGUUUCGGCGGUUGGGGAUGGACUCGCGGCUUAUCAGCUUGUUGGUGGGGUAGUGGCUUACCAAGGCUUUGACGGGUAGCCGGCCUGAGAGGGUGACCGGCGACAUUGGGACUGAGAUAGGGCCCAGACGCCUACGGGAGGCAGCAGUGGGGAAUAUUGCACAAUGGGCGGAAGCCUGAUGCAGCAACGCCGCGUGCGGGAUGACGGCCUUCGGGUUGUAAACCGCUUUCGCCUGUGACGAAGCGUGAGUGACGGUAAUGGGUAAAGAAGCACCGGCUAACUACGUG